CACGUAGGGGGCAAGCGUUGUCCGGACUUAUUGGGCGUAAAGAGCUCGUAGGUGGUUCGAUAAGUCGGGUGUGAAACCUCCAGGCUCAACCUAGAGACGCCACCCGAUACUGUCGUGACUAGAGUCCAGUAGGGGAGCGUGGAAUUCCUGGUGUAGCGGUGAAAUGCGCAGAUAUCAGGAGGAACACCAGCGGCGAAGGCGGCGCUCUGGGCUGGCACUGACACUGAGGAGCGAAAGCGUGGGGAGCGAACAGG
This 254-nucleotide ribosomal RNA is filed under the name uncultured bacterium. RNAcentral's name for it is "partial 16S ribosomal RNA". It matches the Rfam family "Bacterial small subunit ribosomal RNA", at positions 524 to 776 of the family's 1533-position model. The record is from RNAcentral.